GAGCGCCCCGCAAGGGGAGCGGCAGACGGGAGAGUAACACGUGGGAACGUACCCUUCAGUUCGGAACAACCCAGGGAAACUUGGGCUAAUACCGAAUACGUCCGUAAGGAGAAAGAUUUAUCGCUGAAGGAUCGGCCCGCGUCUGAUUAGCUUGUUGGUGAGGUAAUGGCUCACCAAGGCGACGAUCAGUAGCUGGUCUGAGAGGAUGAUCAGCCACAUUGGGACUGAGACACGGCCCAAACUCCUACGGGAGGCAGCAGUGGGGAAUAUUGGACAAUGGGCGAAAGCCUGAUCCAGCCAUGCCGCGUGAGUGAUGAAGGCCUUAGGGUUGUAAAGCUCUUUUACCCGGGAAGAUAAUGACGGUACCGGGAGAAUAAGCCCCGGCUAACUUCGUGCCAGCAGCCGCGGUAAUACGAAGGGGGCUAGCGUUGUUCGGAAUUACUGGGCGUAAAGCGCACGUAGGCGGAUCUUUAAGUCAGGGGUGAAAUCCCGAGGCUCAACCUCGGAACUGCCUUUGAUAC
This 521-nucleotide ribosomal RNA is filed under the name uncultured bacterium. RNAcentral describes it as "bacterial SSU rRNA". It matches the Rfam family "Bacterial small subunit ribosomal RNA", at positions 64 to 633 of the family's 1533-position model. The record is from RNAcentral.